Molecule: long non-coding RNA, 1179 nt
Organism: Sorghum bicolor (sorghum)
Lineage: Eukaryota; Viridiplantae; Streptophyta; Magnoliopsida; Poales; Poaceae
Exons: 3
Source: RefSeq, a predicted model, not a curated record
CAGCCACCGUCGUCCACCCCACACCAUCCCAGUUGCCUCUCUAUGCACAACAGUCAUCGCCCUUGCCAUUGGAGGAUUGGGGUGCCUCCUCAUUCCUCGGAUGCGCUACCGGUGGCCUCCAUGAGCUGCUACCUAAGGGGGCCAUCGCCGCGGCCGGGGGAGUGGCUGCCGCUGCCGCCGCUGGUAUGGGAGGGGCCACUGCCGCUUGAGCCCUCACAAGGGCGAACCGUAUUGCCGCAAGGAGUAGAGACGUUCGCUCUGGCAUGGAUCACCUUGGGAGACUGAUGUGGCUAGCCGGAUCUAGUCCAUCCAUGGCAAGAUCUAGAGUAGCCCCGACUAGCGGCACAAGCAUGGGCAUGGUAGCUAUGCGCACAUCACGACUGGUGGACGCAUGGGGUUUGGUGUCUGCGGCCACACCAUGCGAUGGCUGGAUUUUUCGAGCUAGAUGGAGAAGGCAAAAUGUGUGUUUGAGAAGCUCAAAGGUAUAGUUUUCUAUCUUUGGCUGUGUUGGCAAGGCCGUGCACUACUGUGCCAUAUGUCCUGUUCGUAGGAAGCACCAACUGUAAGUUCUGCAAGGCCAUUGAUUGCGAUAUCACUUGCUUCGAAUGAACGUCAAAUUUGUUUUGGCCAGAACAAAAUCAAUCGAUAAUGAUUGGUUCCUUUUUGUUCUUAUAUUGCUUUUGGUUCAUUCAAAAAAUUUAAUGAAAGCACUAUAUUCCUAGAACAAUAUGCCUAUUAUUUUGCCUGUAUAAAAUUAAAAUAAGGUAAACUGCUCAAUUAGCUUUUGUUAUCAGCUUUUCUUUUCUACUGCCCGAUACAUAUGUUUGAUUAUGUAAUACACACCAUAAAGGUUACCUACAUGUGAGCUGCUACUCUACAAGUAGUAUAGCACAUUUGGUUGUCAGUGGUUAGUAUUUGUUCACUUGUGCAUUUAGAAUAUCAGAUCGGCUUUAUGUGAGUGCUGCUCUACAAGUAGUCUAACUUUUUAUUUUAAUUUCAGGAAAAUCCAAGGAACUUGAUUAUGCCGUCUACAUGUGCUGGUUGAAGAGACAGAACAAUCCUGCUAGUGUUUUAUAGCAAUAGUUGUUAAUAAAAUAGCACAAUGUAUUUGGUAUUAUUGAAAUUUUUGGUAUUAUUGAAAUACGAUGGCAUAUGCUAAUUAUGUAUUUGACUAUUCAU